ACAGUAACUAACAGCUCUUGCUUGCGUGGUUAAAAUAGCUAUAAAGAUAUAUAGUAAGCAUAAAAAAUAACUAAUUUUAAUUGAAUUUUGGUAUUUAAAAUAAUUUUUUUUCUCAGAGUAUUUUUUAUUUAAUGGAAAGAUUUUAUGAAAAAAUAGCGCACAUAGCAACGCUAUAACACAAUUGCCAAGACAAUUGCUGAAUAAGAGAAGCAAUUCAAUUUUUUUUUAUCAGAAAUACAAUUGUUCUGGAGAUGUACCUACAAUUUACCUAACCUCUAUAAAAUGUAUUACUUAACAUUUGAGGAAAAUAACAUCAUUAUUGACAUGGAUUUGAAACUCAACUUCGAGUUUUGUUUGUGAAAAAGAAGCACGCUUACGAAAUCAGUUCUUUAUGACUGAUCUACAUUUACUCCAUGGUGACCGUCUUAACAAAGAUACCCUCAGUGGUUUGCCACUGUUUUCGAAAAAUAAUACUACAAUUAAAAAUCCGAUAUAUGAUUUUGGAUUUGGAUCAGGAUUUUGAGCACAGAGAGCAAAAAUGCGUCACUGAUUAUCACUACCAAUGUCUGAUCUGCCGGGGCUUCUCUUUCUUGCAGCCAUAAUCGGAACCUCUCUGUCCCCUUUCCCUUCCUCGCCCACCCUCCUAAGUCUAGUGAGUUAUUAAUGGCUAUAAAACGCUAUCGAUUAUCGUUGCAACCAUCCGAACUUCUUCUGUUAAUACCAAUAAAAUGUAUAAAUUAUCUCCUACUUAAUUUUCCUUAAUUGCAACGUUGAUAUUUUAUGUUGUCGCCUUAUUUUAUCUCUAUUUUAUGCUAUAACUUACGUUUAAAUUACAGAUUGACUCGAAACAAUUUAAUCUUUGAUAACGAUUACAUGCGCAAAUACAUGACACUAAUACUCAGAGCACAAGCCUUUUUUUUUAACAAUAUAGAUUGCGUAAAAAAUAAACAAUACAUUGCUGCAUUAAAAAAUUUAUAAACAUGUUAAUUUAUAAAUACAGUACAUCAAGAGCCGAGGAAUAAUUAGCGCAAUAUUUUUAAACGCUUGUAAUAGCUGGUUAUCCAAAGCUCGCGUUGUUUGAUGCAUCAUUGAUACAGAGGGAUGGAUCAGUAAUACGGAUGCGAUCGAUCAUGACUAAAAAGACCAUUCGUUUCGCGCGCCAAUAAAACAGGCCACUGGAGAUAAGUACGUGAUCUAGUUUUAUUUUUUUCCAUAGUAUACCUUAUCGGCGAAAAACCUAAAAAAUAAUUUUUAUUUAAAAAAAAUUCCGAAACCAAAUUGAUUUACUAUUUUAAGGUCAAUUGAGGUGCAAUAAUGCAUAGGCAGGAUGUUUAUUACCGGUAAAAGUCUAAAAUUUUUAGAAUUUUUUUACUGUUGAAAAUUAUGGAUUUUCAAGGAAUUUUAUUGGUAUUCAGGAAAUUUUUGGAAGUUUAUACUUUUGAAUUUAAAUUCUAUCUUUUCCAUCUGGCAAAAUUAUUUCUUUAUUUUUUUUUUAAAUACAAAAUAAUCGAAUUUUUAAGUACAAAUAGUAUGUUUAUUCUCGUUUAAUUUUGGAGUUUUAAAAAAUCAAUAAUAAUAGAAGACAUACGGCUGUGGUCAUAUGUUAAGCUUUUAAUUUUAUAUAAAAUAUGCAAAAAUAAAUUAAUGGAAAUGGUCAAUAUUUUAAUAAAUGGAUCCUUAUAUUUUAUUACAAUACAUCAUCAUAAACGUUAGUGCAAACGCAAUUGAAAUCUGUUUAUCCGAAAUUUAACAUUACGGAAUUUUUCCAAGAGUGCCUAGUAUAUAUAUAUGACCAUAUAAGAAUAUAAGA
This is a long non-coding RNA of Monomorium pharaonis (pharaoh ant), 1810 nucleotides long. RefSeq lists it as uncharacterized. Lineage: Eukaryota; Metazoa; Arthropoda; Insecta; Hymenoptera; Formicidae. The transcript has 3 exons. The record is from RefSeq and is a predicted model, not a curated record.